GUAGGUGGCAAGCGUUGUCCGGAAUNAUUGGGCGUAAAGAGCAUGUAGGCGGGCUUUUAAGUCCGACGUGAAAAUGCGGGGCUUAACCCCGUAUGGCGUUGGAUACUGGAAGUCUUGAGUGCAGGAGAGGAAAGGGGAAUUCCCAGUGUAGCGGUGAAAUGCGUAGAUAUUAGGAGGAACACCAGUGGCGAAGGCGGCUUACUGGACUGUAACUGACGUUGAGGCUCGAAAGCGUGGGGAGCAAACAGGAUUAGAUACCCUGGUAGUCCACGCCGUAAACGAUGAUUACUAGGUGUUGGUGGGUACGACCCAUCGGUGCCGCAGCAAACGCAAUAAGUAAUCCACCUGGGGAGU
This 354-nucleotide ribosomal RNA is filed under the name uncultured bacterium. RNAcentral describes it as "bacterial SSU rRNA". It matches the Rfam family "Bacterial small subunit ribosomal RNA", at positions 527 to 881 of the family's 1533-position model. The record is from RNAcentral.